AGGAGGCAGCAGUGAGGAAUUUUGCGCAAUGGCCGCAAGGCUGACGCAGCAACGCCGCGUGGGUGAAGAAGGCCUUCGGGUCGUAAAGCCCUGUCAGGUGGGAAGAAUGUUUCGGGGAUGAAUAAGCCCCGGAAGUGACGGUACCACCAGAGGAAGCACCGGCUAACUCCGUGCCAGCAGCCGCGGUAAUACGGAGGGUGCAAGCGUUAUUCGGAAUUACUGGGCGUAAAGCGCGUGCAGGCGGGCCUGCAAGUCUGAUGUGAAAGCCCCGGGCUUAACCUGGGAAGUGCAUUGGAAACUGCAGGUCUUGAGUGUUGGAGAGGAAGGGGGAAUUCCCGGUGUAGAGGUGAAAUUCGUAGAGAUCGGGAGGAAUACCAGUGGCGAAGGCGCCCUUCUGGACGACAACUGACGCUGAGACGCGAAAGCGUGGGGAGCAAACAGGAUUAGAUACCCCUGUAGUCCG
RNAcentral lists this ribosomal RNA (463 nucleotides) under uncultured bacterium. Its description in RNAcentral is "bacterial SSU rRNA". It matches the Rfam family "Bacterial small subunit ribosomal RNA", at positions 343 to 797 of the family's 1533-position model. The record is from RNAcentral.